ACCUGGAUUUUGGUUUGAGCAUUUGUGGGUCAUCUCCGGGCCUUAAUUCCUGUUUGCAGGUUUGAUGCACACCCCACCUUUUAUAAGAAAUCUUUUGAAAGAGUCAAAGGAGCAUGAAUCCAGAUGUUCGAUACUAAAUUGCUUGUUACGCAAUUUUUUUUUUAUGAAAUAAGGUUGAAGUAUGCUGUCCUUACUGCUGUUACCGGAGCGAGCCGCGCGGCCCGCGACGUUUGAGGCCCUGCAGACGCCCGGUCAGUCGCGAUCUCGGACUCACCAUGUCGAAUGUGAAGUAGGACCCUUAUGGUCACAAUUUAAACCCGAGACGUCUCCUCUGACCCCACCGUGUCAGCACGGCAGAGCCAACAAGAUAGCGGGUCGCCACGCGCCAAUUUCGAGCCCGCUCAGAAAAUCGGUAUGCGCAUCGGGUAGACGUUAUCGCACAGAGCCCAAACUUUGCACAGGAUCUCUACUAGGUCCAAUCUUUCAUUUGAGGUGCCGACCUCCAAAAUCGGUGACUUCGAACACUAAAUCGAUGGGUCCUAAGAACAAAGUACGAUCUCGCCGCGACAGUUCAACAAAGUCUGAUCUCGCCGCGACAGUUCAACAAAGUCUGAUCUCGCCGCGACAGUUCAACAAAGUCCGAUCUCGCAGCGACCGUUCAACAAAGCCCGAUCUCGCCGCGACCGUUCAACAGAGUUCGAUCUCAUAACCGGCGCGUUCCGAGU
This is a long non-coding RNA of Frankliniella occidentalis (western flower thrips), 725 nucleotides long. RefSeq lists it as uncharacterized. The transcript is spliced from 3 exons. NCBI's taxonomy places the organism in Eukaryota, Metazoa, Arthropoda, Insecta, Thysanoptera, Thripidae. The record is from RefSeq and is a predicted model, not a curated record.